ACAAAUGUUAUGUGUGAGGAUGUACUGAU
RNAcentral lists this non-coding RNA (29 nucleotides) under Mus musculus (house mouse). The record is from RNAcentral. Lineage: Eukaryota; Metazoa; Chordata; Mammalia; Rodentia; Muridae.